UGAGGAAUAUUGGUCAAUGGACGCAAGUCUGAACCAGCCAAGUAGCGUGCAGGAUGACGGCCCUAUGGGUUGUAAACUGCUUUUAUAUGGGGAUAAAGUGGGGAACGUGUUCCCUUUUGCAGGUACCAUAGGAAUAAGGACCGGCUAAUUCCGGGCCAGCAGCCGCGUUAAUACGGAAGGUCCAGGCGUUAUCCGGAUUUAUUGGGUUUAAAGGGAGCGUAGGCUGGAGAUUAAGGGUGUUGUGAAAUGUAGACGCUCAACGUCUGAAUUGCAGCGCAUACUGGUUUCCUUGAGUACGCACAACGUUGGCGGAAUUCGUCGUGUAGCGGUGAAAUGCUUAGAUAUGACGAAGAACUCCGAUUGCGAAGGCAGCUGACGGGAGCGCAACUGACGCUUAAGCUCGAAGGUGCGGGUAUCAAACAGG
Molecule: ribosomal RNA, 424 nt
Filed under: Verrucomicrobiota bacterium
Lineage: Bacteria; Pseudomonadati; Verrucomicrobiota
Description: Verrucomicrobia bacterium partial 16S ribosomal RNA
Rfam family: Bacterial small subunit ribosomal RNA
Source: RNAcentral